UUAGGGUUAGGAUUAGGGUUAGGGUUGAGGAAGGAAAGGAGGAAAAGUAGUUUGGAGAGUUGGCCUAUGGUCUAAGGUAUUCUGGAGGGCCCCUGCUUAGAGUUAUUAGGAUUAGGGUUAUUAGGAUUCAGGUUAUUAGGGUUAGGGUUGAGCAAGUAUAGGAGGAAAAGUAGUUUGGAGAGUUGGCCUAUAGUCUAAGGUUUUCUGGCGGGCCCCUGGCAUUCCAGUCCAACACUGGAGACAUGGCAUUAAUACAGUAUAUUGACAGGAAAAGUAAUGACCACAAAUUCCAGGGAUGUCAUUCAUUUUUAUUUAGGUUGAUGAGGACACCCAAUGGCUCCCAGAAUUUCAGCUGCUGAGAUUCCAUCUCUUGGACCAAUCAGAUGUCUUAACCAAAUUGUAAGGUCCUAACUAAACAAGUAAUCUUAUGUUUAGAAAGCUCCGAGUAUCCAUGGUAACGAGGUGAAGACGGACUUGAGUAUCUCCUGUAGGUUGGACUGAAGCCACCUCAGAUACCUGCGCAAUGUAAAGAUACAGAAUGUGUGCGGGGAAAUGGGUUUUUUUGUUUUUUUAAAUCUAUAUAUGGAAAAGUUAUAAAUGUAUUCUGCACAGAUAUUUAUCUUAUCAGCUGAUCAGCUGUUUUUUGUGAUGUAGCGAAGACAACCUCAGAUCACACAGACGGUGGGAAGGUUGAGACUGCACUGAAGGGGUCCUGGGAGGGACAAUCCGCGAGUGAAUGUGUUGCAACCAAUCAGUGGCCACGUGUCAGUUAUGAGGGAAUUUCUUUGUCCAUGACAUUUACCAAUCAAUAAUAUUCCACAGGUGCCUAUGGGGAAAAAUGUUCCUUAAUAAAUGUCUAGAAUUUUUGUUUUU
Molecule: long non-coding RNA, 873 nt
Organism: Xenopus tropicalis (tropical clawed frog)
Lineage: Eukaryota; Metazoa; Chordata; Amphibia; Anura; Pipidae
Exons: 2
Source: RefSeq, a predicted model, not a curated record